This is a non-coding RNA of Paramuricea clavata, 489 nucleotides long. NCBI's taxonomy places the organism in Eukaryota, Metazoa, Cnidaria, Anthozoa, Malacalcyonacea, Plexauridae. The record is from the annotation of a GenBank genome assembly.
CACAGAUGAAGUAUAUACCAGAUGUGUAACUUAAUAGGACUUCGUGUCCUCAAAUUUCCCUAGAUGUACACGUCAUGCUCACGCCAUGUUGCUAGGAAGAUGGCGUCCUGGAAAACAUGAACUUUUGCAUUUUAUUGCGGCUUUCUUGGAUCGAAAUUUAUGGAUUAAACAAUCAAGAGCAUCAUUUGUUGAAUGUUUAAAGUUGUUAAAAGCAAUUAAAGUUGUAGAAAAGGUGUUGAAAACAUUUUUGAAGGCAAUGACGUACUACCAAAUGACGAAUAAUCACGCGAGCGACACUUGCUAGGAAGAUGGCGACCAUGGGACAACUUUUUUACUGAAGUUACACAUCUGUCCUUACUUAAUCUAUGGCACUGAUGAAGAUCCGGGCUUACGGAUCGAAAGCUUUGCAGUAAUAAAUUUACGUGGUGUUUCCACAAACAAAACCUAUUAUAUUUUAUCACCAUGCAAACAUACAAAGAACUUAUUUUG